RNAcentral lists this long non-coding RNA (6531 nucleotides) under Solanum tuberosum (potato). RNAcentral's name for it is "long non-coding RNA (STUB_LNC004069)". Lineage: Eukaryota; Viridiplantae; Streptophyta; Magnoliopsida; Solanales; Solanaceae. The record is from RNAcentral.
AGGUACCAGAUACUAGUGGAGUAGUCGAGGUAUGCAAAAGCUGGCACAAAAACCACCAUCAUAAAAGAAAGAAUGUGCCACAUGGAUGGGUAACGGGGACAGUAGUUGAAGGAUAUAAGAACAACUUAGCAGGUUGAGGAUUAUAGUAAGCAUAGAGAAAUCUCCAUGACGACAAGCCUAAAUAAAUGCAGGCUUCUUGAAUUUGGGAUACAUUAGUAAUUAAAGUACAAUUUAUUACUGCAACAGAAUAUGCAUCUUAGCUCUCUAACAGUAUCGAGGCGUGAUGAACACUCAAUUUGUAUGAACAAUCAGAGGUUCAAAAUAUUAAAGAACCACAAAUAGCAAAGCACAUAAAGGAUAAACAGAGAGAAUUACUCAAUACCUCGUUAAGGCGCUCAGCAUCCUGCAUCUUCUGCAGCAUCCAUCGGUCAACCAACGUUUUAUUUUCUGCCUCAGCAUUGUUUGCUCUCAGAGUCAUUGCUUCAAGUUGUGCUUUAAGGUCCUGGUGCUCAGCCAUAAGCAAUUCCAAAGCUUUAGUCUUUUCCCCAAGAAGUUCAGUUAAAUGUGAACAUUCAUCCCUGCAGCACACUCAUCAAUGAAAGUAAUUGAGCAGUUAUACUCCAUCCUGGCAACCAAAGUAAAACAGUUGAGCGCAUCUUAGGACAUCCAAAGUAAACUUAAUUUGUUAAAUUGGGAAACUAAGAUACUAUUUUAUAAUCUUAAACAUGAACGUUCAUUCAGAAGCUUGAAACCAAAUCAACUUUUGGUAAGGAUCAUAUUACUGAAGUUUUUGUCCAGCUAAUUCUAAGCAAUCCCUAGUGUAUUCCUUUAUUUCUGCCCUUUUAUUACUUUUCACGUGCUUCUUUUUUGUCGCAAAGGGAAGAGUGUAAUUUAGGACAUCAAAUGUUUUAGAAGGAUGAGAAUAACACCUUGCUUGAUUUAGCUCAUUUUGAAGGUCAGUAAUGAGAGUUUCCUUCUCCUGAAGUAAAGAUUUUGAUGCUCUGGAUUCAGCUACUUCCACCACAAGCUGCUCUGACAGUCGUGCUUGAGCUUUGUAACAUUGUUGAAGUUCCACUUCAAGAUUUUCAGCUUUCUCUUUCCACUCUGAACCCUAAAACCAUAGGGACAACAUAAGCACGCGGACAACUUUAUCAGCAAUGUAUAGCUACAAGAGAAGUGACUGAGUGCAAAAAAUUCCACAUGCACAGGUUGUAGUUAAAAUUUCUAUGUAGAAAGCUGCAGUUGGUCAGUUCAACUUGCAUCUCAUUCCUUAAGCACGAUUUAAGGGCGAUAAGUAAAUUCUACAUCAUGCAUACCAAGUGAUCUUGAAAGUCAAGAGAGUUGACAAGAAUACUCCGUAAAACAUUUUCCAUUAUCAUGUUCUAACAAAAGGAACACAAAGAAUUAGAAAACUUCCCUUAUUUGAUUAGCUCAAAGCUCCUAUAUAUAGAAUCCUCUUAUAUGUUGUUAACACUCUAAUUAACAACAUUUUUCUCUUUUCUUGUUUCACUUGGUAUCAAAUUCUGUCUUCCAGAGAUUAAUCUCGUUAAAAUGAUUGAAAAGGUGAAACCAUGGCCCUGAAGUCCUCCGCUCAUGGAGUUGAGGUUUCAAGUUAGCAGUUUAUGCUGUCAAAUUAAUGGCUCACAUUUCCCAUUCAACAUCAUAUUAUCACACUAUGAAUUGAACAAUGAUCUGUUACGCUGACAGCAUGAUAGUCUUUGUCGUCAAGCUGGUAGCAUGCAUCACCUCAAAUCCAGUAAAUUCUGAUGUAUGCACAAUUUGUGUCAUCGCCAAGCCAGUCUCAUGCAGUGCAAAAUCAGUUUGUCUCAUGACUGGAUUAGUUUCUUUGAGGGAACAUAGUUAAGAAAAUCAUAAAGAACAUUACAUAGAGAUCUUUUGUUAUCUUACGAUAAUUAAGAAUCAGAAGAACUAGGGAAGUCGUAUUAUUUAUUAGCUCAAACUCAUAUACAAAGAGCUCUCAUGUAUGUCAUUAAUCACUCAACUCACAAGAGUUUCUCUAUCUUCUUUUCUCUCUUUACAUAAACAUUAAUGGUCACUAUAUGUUCAUUUUCAAUUUUUUAACUUCUCAUUUAAUUUUGUUUUAUUGCCAACAAGGAGCUGGUGCCUAUAACUGAUUGGGGAACAAGGUCCAUCCACAUGUAACUUGGUCUUUAAACACUACCAAAAGCAAGUUGUUUUCCAGCGCCAGUGUAAGCAGAAUACAUGAUUGUUUAAAGCUCAAACUUGGGAAGUUUCGGGUAAAUGAACUCAUGUUCGUUCAAUCAGUAAGAUCGAUACAAGAUCACAUAAAACAACAGAUGAAAGAUACAUCUAAAUUGAAAAUUUUGGAAGUCCCCCAUGAUCCCACUCAGACAUAAAACCAGGGAAAUCAACUAAUGUUCAAGCCUAACUAUGAAUGACUGUGAUAAAAAAAACAAAAAAACAAUGAAAUUCUACCGACAUGGUCAGAGGCGGAUAUAUGUAGCUUAUGGUCCUUUCAACGCAUUGAAUAAAUUUAUAUAUGAAUUUCCAUGAAAAUUGCAACAAAUAGUAGAUAUGAACCUAAAACUUCAAAGAUAUAAUAAGGUUCAAUCCUCAGAAUCUUAAAUUUUGAACACUAAAAACUUAAAUCCCGGAACCACCUCUAGACAUGAUAUGCACUUAUAAUUUUCGUGUCUAACAAACAAAACACAGAUGAAAAUGCCAAAUUGGAUACAAAACGUUCAUUAAUGUUGGUAACUUCUUGCAGAUCCUUUCCGCACAGCUCAAUAAUUGCUUUUUUUAAAGUAAUCAUUACUCAAUAAAGUCAUAAAACAUAAUAGAAAAAACUAAAUCAACCAAAUUACGAACUCGAUAAAGAACAAAAAAAAAGAAGAAGCAACUAGGAAGAAUAGAAGGGCACCUGCAAAACGAAAGGCCUAUUGAGGGCAGCCAAAGCAGGGGCAUGAGCCCCUUCUUCCACUAAAUGCCGCUUUCUUAGGGCCUUUAAAGCAUGCUUGAUUGCUUCUAUAGCAACUUCUUCGUAUGCCCUAACACAAAAACAAAAAACAAUCUUCAAAAUUCAAAAUUCAAAUGAAAUCGAACAAAAUCAGUUUUGGAUAUUGAAAAAACCUUAAGAUUAAUAUGUUUACAACUUACAUAUUUGAUCAAUUUGCCGAAUCACACACCCAAUUUGCGAAAUUCAGAUUCGUAAGGAGCUAAUUAUGAAUUCAUUUUUCCUAUAGCAGCUGACCUUGGUUUUUUGGUCGGGCCGGGUUGUGUGCCCCGUUUUAUACCGAUCUAACCAAUUUUGUUCCCAGUGAGAUCAUAUUUGACCCAUUAAUUAAUUAGAUAAUAUUAUUAUAUUACCCAUUAAAUAUAUUAAAUUUGAUACUUUGAAAAAUAUAUUAGAUAUUGAAUAAUAUUUAAUAUUAAGGGUAGAAUAGAUAUAAAAUGAUAAAUUAUUUCUUAGUUUUCUAAAUUGGACAACUAUUUUUAGUAUAGUGCACAAGUAAAAAUGGACAGAGAGAGUGCUACUUAAAAGUAUCCCACCAUUUGUAUCAGAUAAAUUAUUCCGUAUACCUAGUGGGAUAACUUAUUCCAAGAUAAUUAACCCUAAAAUAACUUGUUCCUAGCCAAACAACCCCUUAUAGUCUUGAUUUCUUAAUGCGACACUUAUUUUGAGAUAAUUUUUAAAAAAAUUUAUUUUGGGAUAGAGAGAAUAUUUGAUUAUUCAAGACCCAAACUUGUGAGCACGAAUAUACACACACACAUGAAAAUUAUCACCACGAAAGACCGCUUUAUUUUUCCACAAAAAACUAACAGUUAAUAUAUCCACAAUCCAAUCAAAUAUCAACAAAAGAUAUCUAAAAAAAUCAGCUUAAAAGCUUAAUAUUACAAUGUCAGCCCCUUUUGGCAUGAUGUUUAUAUAUGGACGAUGCUCAUUUAUGGCUUCACAAUCACUAUGAUGACCAACUUUGUGCUUUAAGAAAACUAAUAUCAACAAUGACACUCGUGAUCCUCACUGAAAUCUCAAUUACUGAGCAAUCUUUGAACUGAUAUCAUGACCAAAUACAUAUGGUUCCACUCUUAUCUGAGGUUGCCAAAGGAUUACCAAAACCACCCCAUGAACAACUAAGUACAGAGGAUGUGUGUUCUUUCAAUGUUCUUACCAUUUUACCGUUUGAUACUGACCAAAUAUGAACAGAUCCAUCUACAGAACCUGCAGUAACAUAACCGUCAUCGGCACUAAUACAGGAUCGGCUCCAAUCAGAUGCAACUCGAUUUGCAUUUGAUCUGAAAGUGCCACAAAUUUCAAGGGUGCGUAUAUCGAAUAGAUUGUGCAAGUUAUCUCUCCCACUGGUUAAUAUCAUGUUUCCAUAUUGAGAGAGUGAAACUGAUGUAACAGCCUUUGAAUGUGCAGCAACUUCACUCAGAAGCUUGCCUGUUUGAACAUCCCAUAAUCUAAGAUUACCAUUAACAUGACCGGAAUAGAGAGUCAGUCCAUCCGUGCUUAACGAAAGGCUGUUACAGUUACUGUGAAAUAUGAUAGUGUUGUUACAGUAACCCUUCUGCAGAUCCCAAACUUUUAUUGUGCGAUCAUAAGCAGCACUCCCCACAUAGCGAUUUGAAGAUCUGCUCACAUCAACUGCACAAACCUUGUUGCUGUGCCCAGUAAGAAUAUGGCGUAUCCUGCCUGAAUUUGCAUUCCACACAUACAAGUCAUUUGAACUACUUGCUGCUAUGAUGAAUUUGUUAUCUUGUGUAAUGGAAAGAUCAAGGACCGAACCCAGACAACCAUAAAGAAUGUUACUUAAUGAUCCACUUCUAGUAUCCCAAAUUUUAACUUCCCGAUCCUCCCCACCGCUUAUCAAUUUACUGGACUUAUAAUCAAAAAGAAUCGAGGCACAUCCACCAUCAUGGGCGGGGAUCCUUUGCCAGCAUGUACUGGGAAUGGAAGAGUCAAAGUAAGCUUCUGCAGCAUCUUCACUUUGGGGGACAACACCGUCCACUUGUGGACGAGGAAGUUUCUUUAUACUGGCGAUCUUGAACUUAUCAAGCAUAUUUUCAUAGAGAGCAUUAGACUAGCAACACAAAAAAUAACAAAUAAGAAAAUGCAAGAGAACCUAUCAUUGUAAAACAUAUAAAAAAUACUGACUGAAAAUAUAGUGCCCCUAACCCUAUUAUUCUAUUAGGAGAAUUGAAUAAAUGAUCAUUGGCAGUUCCUUUGGAUUAGCCAAACUUGUCAAAGAUUUGAAUUUUGUUCAGAUUACAGGGUAGAUUUGCUGUAGAAUAACUUGUUAAGAGAUGGAGCUCGCCUCCUCGUUUUGGUGGCAGAACAACAUGAUUAAAAGUUUUAGCAUGGAGAACUACUACCAAACAGUCACUAAGUCCUGUUAAUAAAAAGGCAAAAGAUGCCAUCUACCAUUCAUUGAAUAAAUACAUGUUGACAAACCAAUAAUAACCCUUACUAACAGUUCAUUUCCACAUCUCAGAAAUUUUGCAUUAUACUGACAUGAAAUAGUUAUUAUGAGACGAAGAUAUUGGAGAUACCCCAGUAAUAAAAUCCUACACCGAUCACCACCAGCCACUCCAGCAUGACGGAAAGUAAAAUGUCGAGCAUCUGGAGUUUCAGUAUGUGCGCUUUCUUACCCAAAUAUUUGGAGAACCACAAGUUGUUAAUAUUUGAGCACUCAUAAGAUAUGAUACUCCUUUAUCUUAUGGUGGCUUUAUGUCAUUCAUCUGUCCAAAACCUAAGGCUAGAUUAUACUUAAAAUAUUAGCAUAGUUCUUUAUCAUUUUAUUUUUCAUUUUUCCCCUUCUUGGUAGUAGUAGUUCUUCAUCAUUGAAGUCUUAAAAUGGAUAGAGUAUGCCACAUGGAUAGCAUCCAAGAGUGUCACCUAGUGGUCAAUGAAGUGAGUGAAAACCGCAUGGAGUUCCAAAUCCCAGUAGUGAUAUACACUCUAGAUUAUUUCUCCCAUCUACCUAAGCCUUGAUGGAUAGAGUUAUUCGGUACCUAUGCUGGUGGGAGGUACCAGAUACUAGUGGAGUAGUCGAGGUAUACACAAGCCGGCACAAACACCACCAUCAUAAAAGAAAGAAUGUGCCACAUGGAUGGGUAACAGGGACAGUAGUUGAAGGAUAUAAGAACAACUGAACAGGUUGAGGGUUAUAUUAAGUGUAGAGAAAUCUCCAUGACGAGAAGCCAAAAUAAGGCUUCUUGAAUUGGUGAUACAUUAUUAAUUAAAGUACAGUUUAUUACUGCAACAGAAAUAUGCAUCUUAGCUCUCUAACAGUAACGAAGCGUGAUGAACACUCAAUUUGUAUGAAAAGUCAGAGGUUCAAAAUGUUAAAGAACCACAAAUAGCAAAGCACACAAAAGGAUAAACAGCAAGAAUUACUCAAUACCUCGUUAAGGCGCUCAGCAUCCUGCAUCUUCUGCAGCCACCAUCGGUCAACCAAUAUUUUAGUUUCUGCUCUCCGAGUAACUGCUUCACGUUGUGCCUGAAGCUCCUGAUGCUUGGACAUAAUCAAGUCCAAAGAUUUACUCUUU